GCUGACGAGUGGCGGACGGGUGAGUAAUGUCUGGGAAACUGCCUGAUGGAGGGGGAUAACUACUGGAAACGGUAGCUAAUACCGCAUAACGUCGCAAGACCAAAGAGGGGGACCUUCGGGCCUCUUGCCAUCGGAUGUGCCCAGAUGGGAUUAGCUAGUAGGUGGGGUAACGGCUCACCUAGGCGACGAUCCCUAGCUGGUCUGAGAGGAUGACCAGCCACACUGGAACUGAGACACGGUCCAGACUCCUACGGGAGGCAGCAGUGGGGAAUAUUGCACAAUGGGCGCAAGCCUGAUGCAGCCAUGCCGCGUGUAUGAAGAAGGCCUUCGGGUUGUAAAGUACUUUCAGCGGGGAGGAAGGGAGUAAAGUUAAUACCUUUGCUCAUUGACGUUACCCGCAGAAGAAGCACCGGCUAACUCCGUGCCAGCAGCCGCGGUAAUACGGAGGGUGCAAGCGUAAUCGGAAUUACUGGGCGUAAAGCGCACGCAGGCGGUUUGUUAAGUCAGA
RNAcentral lists this ribosomal RNA (508 nucleotides) under uncultured Escherichia sp. RNAcentral describes it as "bacterial SSU rRNA". It matches the Rfam family "Bacterial small subunit ribosomal RNA", at positions 87 to 592 of the family's 1533-position model. The record is from RNAcentral. Lineage: Bacteria; Pseudomonadati; Pseudomonadota; Gammaproteobacteria; Enterobacterales; Enterobacteriaceae.